GCACAUUGACCAGACCAAGUCACCAAUGACUGCCUAACUGCAAGGGGACUAUAAAUACCAGGAUACAAGGGGAAACACUUCUUAACUUACAAAUGCUUGACUGGAAUGACAUAUUUUAAAAUAUGACCAGACAACUUUGAGAAACUAAGGUAAACUUCAGAAAGGCAAGAAAGCGCACCUUGGAGAAACUGGUCUCAUACCUUGAGCACAUGGUUCACGUGACUGCUUUACAGGACAAACCGUGCAGAAAUACAAGGCAUGACAAUCAUAAGUCUUUCUUCAAGAAAUCCAAAGUAAUGACUUUACUGCUCCAUCCUGCAAUCAACAGAUACUCAGAAACAGCCCAAAGAUGAAUUACUUAGCUAAUUCUUUGGUAUUUUCUCGCAAUCCUCUUUUUCAUUGUACAUUUCAUUUUUUAACAGCCAUUGGUACUGAAACUUAUGUUUGCAAAAGCAAGAGAGUUGAUUAAUAGGUAUUUUAUACAUCUGGUAUUUUCUCAUAAAAGACUAGAAAACUUAUUUCAAUUAUCAUACCACCAACAAGGAUGCAAUCUGUUCACAAGGCCUGUUUACGAGUGGCUGCUUUGGGUAAUGGCUGUUUUCUUAGCAUGGGAAAUGAAAUAUAAUAUUAUUAAGCAGAGAUAUGCAAAAUGAAGUGUCAACUUAUCCAUCUUCCUGAUGUUUAUAGGCUUCAUUUUUUAGAAUGUUUAUUUUAUUUUAUGGGACCACACGUUAAAAUACCUCCUAUUUCAAAGGAUCUAAUUUCUUUUAUUCCGAUUUUAAUGUCCUUGAAUAUUAACAUUCUCAAACUUGUAAGCAAUCAGCUAAGGAAAUCUGUGGUAGGUACUUUAUUAAUUCCAUUUAGAUAAAUGUAUCAUAAUGGGAGAGACAAUAAAAAUGAACACUUUAUCUUUGCCUGAGAAAAAGAACUGGUCUUUGCCAGAAGGAUGGCAUAAAUGAUUUUCACUUUUAGAGGCCACCUGUGAUAAAAUGGGGGAAGGGGUGGCGGUUGGUAGAAAGCAAACCUCUAAUAAUAAUGAGUGUGUGCGUGUGUGCAUGUGCAUGCACGUGUGUGUGUGUGUGUGUGUGUGUGUGUUCAGGAGGGAGAGGGGUUGUGAAUCAAGGCACUGUAAUGGAAAUAAUAAAUCAAUUUUGAAGAGCUUGAGUAAGAUCAUUGGAAAAGUCUAGCUAUAUCUGUUUUUGGCUAAGUGUGGCUCCUUCGUUAUUUCACUAAAUUUCAUUAUCUCUGCAAGGAGUGGAAGUGAGAAAGAAUAAACUUUGUAAAAAGGUAAAUAUCACCACUUAUUUAAUUAUCAUUUCUAUUAUUUUCCCAGGAAGGCAUCCUACUAAUAAAUGGACCUACCUGCAGAUAAAGGAAAGGAAAUCAUAUACUAAAGGAGGAGGAUAACUUUAAACAGUAUAGAUUAUAGAACUCUACAAAGCCCUCUUGCAAAAUAUAUUAAAUUCCUUUAUAUGAGGAAAAGGAAUAUUAACACUGGCAAGAUAUAUACUGGGGUGUCC
RNAcentral lists this long non-coding RNA (1520 nucleotides) under Homo sapiens (human). RNAcentral describes it as "HSALNT0146552". The record is from RNAcentral. Lineage: Eukaryota; Metazoa; Chordata; Mammalia; Primates; Hominidae.